AGACAGACAGAUGGAAGAGAAAGCAUGCAGCGGAGAGGAGGAGAAACAAAGCGUGUUGACUGAGGAAGUGUGCAUGCCAUGCGGGCCAUGUGCUCGUCUACGUCCCAGCUCGCCGACUCUCGCCGCUCUGAGACUCACUGCAGCUUCUCCUGCUCAAGUCUCCCACUUUUCACUCUAAGGUAGGACCGUCUUUACUUGUUCCUGUGUGUUUCAAAGAGUUUGUUUCGCCUCUUUUCUCGCCUUUUUCCACCUUUUUUUUUUUUUUCACCCCAUGCUGUGCUGCUUUUUUUUUUUGUUGGGUUUGAUGAUGCCAGAGUGAGAAAAAGUUUGAGCUUUGUUUUAAAUGCUGCAUGAUUUGAUUUUGCAAAAGCACAAAAUGUUGAAUUUCACAUGUUGAAUUCAUGCAAAAAAAAAAAAAAAAACUGUGGUGCAAUUUAGUCAAUGUUGGCAGGUCUGGCUGUUUGUUGCCAUGUGUGUGUUGGUGUGUGUGUGUGUGUGUGUGAGUGAGUGUUUGUGUGGUGGUCUGGUAUACUGGUAGAAUAUUGGCAGGACUGAGGAAUGUGUGAGAUCUCUUUGUUCCCUCUCUCUCUUUCCCUCUCUCUCUCUCAUUUUCUUCUUUUUUCUCUCUGGGGUUGCACACACACACACCACACACACACACACACACACACACACACACACACUCUCUUACACACACAUACACACACAUGCAGUCAAACCAACUCUUGCAGAAAACCAGUUGAAACUUCCCACCGGCAGGAGAGAAAUGUCUGGAAUGUGAUUAUCACGUAUUUGUGUUUAUUUUAUCACUGCGGGUCGCUCGCAAAGCAAAGAGGAAACCAGAUCAGGCGCGUGCACGUCACUUAGCGUGCAAUAAUGUGUGUGUAUGUGUGUGUUCAUGUGUGUGCGUGGUGCUGGUGGGUGGGUGGGUGGGUUGGGAGGGGACAGGGUAGGAGGGUAAAGAGUGAGAGCUAUUUGGCAGUGCACGUGAGUGUGUGGGUGGUUGUGUGGGUGUCAGGGUGAGUGGGUGCAGAGCUCUUUGAGUGAGAGCACAUGUGACUCUGAGUGUGUGUGGGUGUUGAAUGUGUGUCUGUGUGCGUGCACAGAAAGGUGAAAAGUAUGUGUGUGCAAAGGUAAGGUGAUUGUGUGUUUCCGAGUCUACCUUUGCAUCAAACGGAGGCAGAGGAAAGACAAAAAAAAAACUACUCCUCUUUCCAAAACCUUUUGCUGUCCCUCUUUCUUUCUUUCUCUUACAUGCACACACACACACAUGUACACACACAUGCACACACGCAAGGUUCAGGCGCCUGUCAAACCCAGUGCAUUCCUGAGAGCUCGAACACACGGAGUCUGAAUGGUGGGAUGAAUGCGGGGAAAUUCAGCUGAAACGUGAGGACAAAAGCCAGGGGGACAUUUAAGAGGGUUUAACUCGGCAGAACCCUGGGAAUCAGGGAGGAAACACACACACACUAAAACACACACGGAAACACACAUGCACGCUUGCAUUAGCGCAUGCCUGCACGUGCACUGAAAUGAACUGUGUAUACAUCUCGACACACACACACAUAUGUACAGCUGCGGCUCCAACAGGCUGUUAGAGCCGGGAACGGAGGGGAAUUCCCAGGGAGGAGACAGUGAAAACACACACUGCACCUCUGAAUGUACACACACACACACACAUACACAUGCACACACACACACACACAAAGGCCCAAGAAGCCAACACACUGCGCUGCAGGUAUCUCUGCAGUCCAUUAGUAAACCAUCGAGUUUCACGGCGAGCUGAAGAAUAAAAUCCUCAGAAAUGUGCAAAAAAAAAGUCAUGAAUUCUCUGAGACGUUUAAAGCUUUACAUGUCAACUUAAAAGCUUUUUAAAUCACAAAUACACACAUUUUUAAAACAACCUAAAACACUCUUUUAUCCACGUUAAAAAGAUUGCACAAAUCCCCUUUAAUGUGGAGCUUUACGAUGUUUUCAGUCAUCAUAUCAAAAAUCUUCCUUGCUGGUCUUUCAAUAAUGCACCACGUCAGGUUUUUAUUCAUUUAAUAUACCAUUCCUUAGAGUGAUGUCUCCUUUUUCUGUGUGCGGUUAUGAUUCAGCCGAGGUUUUAAAAGAAAAAAAAGCGGCAGGUGUUAAAAAGGUGUUCUGAUAAUGCCAAAUUUUGACAUUUCUCCAAAUCUUAAAAGCCUGAACCCGCCUGAGAGGAGCUCUUACGCCGCCGCACUGAAACUGACUGGUUUCCAAAAUGAAUUUGCACUUUAAGAACCAAAUUGAUGCAGAUUACCUGAGAGAGAUUUUCUACUUUUCCCUGUUGAAGAGAAAUUCAGUCCCUGUCCAGCUUUAAUAAACCACCUGGAAUUCCCUGAAGGACCUUUAAAGACUCCAGGAACUGCUUUGGGAACCUUUUUAAGUGCACACAGCAAAGAGGGGGGGGAAGUGCAUCUCAUUGUGUGCAGGAUUUUUCUUUUACAGUUGAAAAGCGUCAUUUUUGUUGCUCUAAUUUCGUAGAUUUGAUUGCUAUAAUCUUCUCGAUUUUCUGAAAAUAAAGGGACUUACUUGUGAAUUACUUAUUUAAAAAAACACCUUUUGGAUUUUGUUUUUCUCAUCUGCAUCUUUGCAGAAACAAAGGAAGUCUGAUUUUUUUCAAUGACAUGAAGGUGUAACAGCUGUUUCGCAAAUGCACCUGGACAGCUUGCGAAAGACCGCCUAGAAAUUUCUUAAGGACCCUAAAAGGUUCCAGGAACCUGCUUGGAGAUCCUUUUUUUAAUUGCACCGCCUGCAAGACAGAAACUGCGAAGAAAAAAAUCCAUUUAGAGCCGAGAAGAAGGAGUUUUCUUUCUCAAAAUUUACAGCUGAAGUUUGUGAAAUUGUUUUCAUUUUUGAGAGAGAAUAAAAAUUAAGUCGCCUCAUAGAUCACUCUCUGGAUUGGACAGUUUUAAGAUCGAUACAUCAUUUGUGGUUCACCAGGAAAGAAAGCAAGAUCUUUUUGUCAGUAAUUAGAAACCGAAUGAUGGAAUUCUGCACCUGCUCAGUUUGAUAAAGUCUCCAUGGAUAUUUCUGAAGGACUCUAAAAGGUUCCAGGAACCUGACUCGAGAUCGGUCGUGAUUGCACGACACCAGAAACCGAAAAUGUGCAUCGAAUUGUGUGAAGAUUUUGCAGCAAAGUUGCAUCUUUAAUUAAAGAAAUCAUCGACAUUUAUGGAAAAAUGACAAAAGAAUCAAACUGUUUGAUUUUUGCUGUUUUGUCACUGACGAUAAUUCCUAUUUGCGACUAGAAAGACAAGGAAAUCUUUCUGUUUUCAAUAAAAGCCACUUCAGUUGGUUCACCAAUAAUGAAAUUCAGCACCUGCUCAACCCUCAAGGACCCUAAAAGGUUCCUGGAACCUUUCUUUGGAUGCCUUUUCAUUGCACAGCAUGAAAAACCGAGAUUGAGCAUCAGAUUGUGUGAGGAGGUGAAGUCAGAAGCGUUAAUGAAGGGUUAGAAAAUAUGAGAUUGGUUGAGUAAAUGUUGCACCGUCAGUUUUCUAAAUCGUCCAGACCUAGAGGAGAAUUUAAAAGGAUUCGAUUUUGCUGUUUUUAAAGGAUUUGUUAUUAAAUCUGCGUCUUUAUCUCUGACUUUAAAGUGAAAGUUUGUGUCUCAGGUUUAGAUUCCAUCAGGUGUUUGUCUGAAAAUCUGGAUGUAAGUGGACAUUAGAGGUCAACCUUCCUCUCUGCCUCCUGCAUGCUCUAAGUGGGGGGUCAGGGGAUAUUUGUUCUGACCUGAAAUCAACUUCAGAACGAUAGAGCCGCAGAAUCAGAUGCCCCUCUGCUGAGAAACAAGAAGGGAAACACCUGGGAUUAUCCCCAAUCUGUGCAGCUUUUGCAUGUUUCAGAUUGAGCUGAUCUGCUGUCUGUGUGUGUCUGUGUGUGUGUGUGUGUGUGUGUGUGAUGGAAAAAGUGAUGAGUAAUACUCGGGGAUCUUGACGCUCAGUUCAUGUUCAGUUUGGCGCAUAAUUGAUUCAGCUUGAUCUGGUUUAUGGAGCUGAAAAUGAGACAAAAAGCAUGUGAGCGAUUUCCUGAUUUUACGCUCCAGUCACGAGAGUCGAUGAUGAUGAUUGGAGAGUCGAAUUAAAGGUCAGGUUGUGAUUUUCAAGAUGGUUCAGGUGAAUUUGAUGCAGUGAAAAGGUCACGAAUCAUGUGAGGUAAUUAAGGGUGGAGAAAAAAUGUGAUAAAACGCAGCUUUCAUGAGGAGAACCUGACGUUAUUUCGCCGAUAACCUGCGUCUGAAAGGGUUAAAUGAAUCUGGUCAUGAGAUUUACAGAAAGACAUUUGAUUGAAGAUAUUUCUGGGAAGUUUAGGUUGAAGAAAAAGUACCCAUCCCAAAUACCAGAAAGUGAGGUCAUAAGUGAGGCGAUAAGAGAAAGAGUGGGCACAGUAAUUUAUUCAGGGAAUUUCACAAUAUGAAGCAGCGAGCGAGCGGCUGAUAUUGUCAGCGAGCUGCAGAGAGCUCAUAAAGCUGCUCAGACCUGUGCCGCCGCCGCCGCCGCCCAGCCCGAGAAUCAAACAAGAAGAAGCCGAGAAAACAGAAGUUAAUUUCCCAGACUGCUGCAGAGAGUCACUCUGAGAAAAACUGAGAGUGAUGAGGUCUGCACGAGGAAGAGGAGGAGGAGGAGCAGGUGAGCAAGAACAAGAACCUCGAAUUUAUACUAAUGUAGAUGCAUGAGUUUGAGUUUCAGCAGGUACAAUCCCUCUGCAGGUGUAUUUCCCCACAGGGAGAUGAGAUAGAGAGGCAUCAGUCCAGAUAUGAUGAGAGAGCGUUUCACAUUCACUGUUCACUCACAACCGACUCAAAAUACAAGAAUAAAGAGAGAGUCUGAAGAAUUUAAGUUUCCACGCUGCUUCAGUUUGAUGUUUUCUUCAUCAGAUUGGUAAAAAUAGCUUUUCUUACAUUCAUGUUUUUGUUAAAAAAUAAAGCAAUAAGGGAGAAAAGGAUGUUUCUUUUUAAACGGUUUCAUAAAAAUGCACAAUUCUGGCAUUUCUGCAGCUUUUAAAAGCCUCAAAUCAUCUGCGAGAAGCUUUUUAAACCAGAGAGAGGUUCAGAAACGAGCAUUUAAAACACCAAAUGGAUUCAGGUGAUUUCAGAUCUGCAUGAGAAGGAAGGAAGGAAGGAAAUCUCUCUGUUCACUCACCUGUUGAGCCUCAAGUGAAUUUCAGCUUGAGAAGGACCUGCUUACAGAAAUGUGUUUGUAUCCUGUGAAAAAAAUGAAUAAAGAAAUGAUUAUUAAUAACCAUGAAGAGUGAAAGUUGUUCUGUAUAUGAAGCUGCUUCAGUUAUUAAAAUCAGAGGAUUAGAAGGUGGAAUAACGGAGAGGAAAAAUGAACAUUCGCCUGCCAUAAAAUGAUGUUUCUGAGGGGUGAAUUAUUCCCUUUAGCCUCUUCAAAUGUGACAGAAAAGAAUAAAGUCUUUAAUUAUCAAGAGCAAAAAUUAGAGGUAUAAAUGUAAAAGAAAAAUGCUGUAGUUAUCCAGCAAAUCCUGCAGCUCUAAAUCUUAAAAUCAUCAAAUUUUGAUCAAACACAGAAGAUUUGUUUCAGUCUAAAACUCUCAGUUUUUGCUUUUUCUGCAGGAUUUUUUAACUCUUAUCUAAAAGUUUUGUCUCUUUAAUUUGCAUGAAUGAAAUGUGCAUAAUUGGAGUGGACUCUGCUUCACUGAAUUAACGUGUUUCUGCUGUAAAAGCACAAAUUUAGACAGGAGUUUCGUUUUUUUUCUCCAUAAUAAUUAAAUUCGGGACUUUCUCUUUAAGUCGUGCUCUCUGCUUCAUCAUUUCCCUCUUUUAUUCCCCUCUGUCAUUCUUCACCUCUCUCGGAGUUGUCACAGUCUUUACUGCACUCAGACUCUCCGCGGGCGCACCGGGCGCACCGGGGACGGUCCCCGCAGCGUGGGGGGGCGACACGAGGAAGUAGAGAGGGAGGGGAGGGGGGGUUCUUUCUUGCGGGUAGACUGAGGCUGACUCUGGGGACGGAGCUGCGGCCGACUGCCGCAGGUUUUGGGGGAACCAGCUUCUCACUCUGAGGUCGCCGGGGCAUUUCCGAGCGAUCCGGGGUAAAACCCGGCUGACACACAGAGACAAAACAGAGAGAGAGAGAGAAAGAGAGAGAGAGUGAAAGAGAGAGAGAGAGCGAGAGAGAUCAGGGCACAAACAGCCUCAGAAACAUCGAUCCUCCUCCUCCUCUCUUCUGCAGAUAUCUGCGGCUGUCUGAGCUCGUUUCACGGACACUUUUACGCGCAGCUCUCGGUGAUGUUUGAUUUGGUCUUUUGUGUUUCUGUGCGCAGAGGACAAAACCAGGAGAGCUGACUGAGCCUGCACACGGGGGAAGGUGUCUGGAAAAAGGGAGCUGAUUUUCUCCUGCAACUUCUAAAUCCAAUGGCAGCGACACCGAAGAACACAGGUAACACAUUUAUAUUCUUAUCCGUGAUUUUAACACAGAUUUGAACAUUUUUAAGAGACACUUUUACGCCUUAAAAUCAUCCAAAAUUUCUGCUCCAAAUCAGAGAACUGUUGAUGCAUGUUUCUAUAUCAUAUUCCUAAAUUUGACUUUAUCACUGUCGGUGUGUUUGAGUUGUGUUGGCGUUGUUUGUGCGUUCCUGCAGCAGUGUGUGUGUGUGUGUGUGUGUGUGUGUGGUGAGACUGUUGAACAUGGCAUUGCAACAGUGUGUGGUCUCCUCCAGCUCUGGCAAGACUAUUGUGCACUCUUCACGUGCGCAUUUGUUCGUGCGCGUGCUUGCUUGUUGGUGUGUGUGAGAGAGAGAAAAGAGAGAGAGAGAGAGAGAAAAGAGAGGGAGGGAGGGGGGGAGAGGAGGAAUGUGAGUCGGGCUGGAGGAAAUUCUUGUGUUUUGGAAUGCGUUUACCCCGGGGGGAGACCCCGUGACUCCGGGAGAGAGAGAGAGAGAGAGAGAGAGAGAGAGAGAGAGAGAGAGAGAGAGAGAGAGAGAGAGACAGGGGUGUGAUUGCAUGGCUUUCUAAGAAAUAAUUGAAUCAUUGGUGUUAUGCUGUUUCAUGCAAGUCUCAUGCAAAUGCAGUGACAGUGAAUAUUUCAUGAUGAACAUUUUUGCAUAUUUUUAUGAUCAUUUCUCUCUCUCUGAGGAAGAGGACUAUAAUUAAAACCAUGCACGCUCACUUUCACACACACACACACACACACACACACACAGCGGCUCUGCAUCCAACAGGGGGAGCUUGUGACACAUGGAGCUGGAAAAUCAGUUAUUAAUGUGACACUAAUAUCAGCCUUCAAUUUCACAUGCGUUAACAAAGAGACAGUCAUUUCUUUUAGCAAAACACUCCGUGAAAAGUGGAUGAAAGGGCAGCUCAGACUUGCUUCCCCCUCGGUUCUUGGCAGAUUCUGCGUCUUUUAAAAUGGGACAUAGAUUUUAAAAAAUGUCAAAAAGUGCGUCUUAAAAAUAUGAAACAAAUGCACAUUUCAGAGGCAGACAUAGUCUAUGAUAAGAGCUGGAUUUAGCAGCUUUCUUUCUGCAGAACAUGCUGGACGUCUCCUACCUUGCAUUAAAGAAUACAUGCACGGUAGUAUUUUGGGAAAUUCAUCUAAAAUAUGUUAAAAUUUAUCUAUUUUAAAUCUCUUUUAGGCGAAGAUGUUUUGCACAUUUCAGAGGCAGACAUAGUCUAUGAUAAGAGCUGGAUUUAGCAGAAUGGUGAUUUCUUUCUGCAGAAUAUGCUGGACGUCUCUUACCUUGCGUUAAAGAAUACAUGCACAUGUUAGUAUUUGGAGAAAUUCAUGUAAAAAAUGUUAAAAUAUAUCUAUUUUUAAUCUCUUUUAGGUGUUAAAGGUGUUUUGCACAUUUCCAAAAUAUCACUCAAGCAAUAUUACCGCAAGGCGUCGACAAAAAGAGCAUUUUAAGUUCAUAUUAUUAACAAACAAACAAGAUUAAAUCAAGUUUCUGCCAACUUCCUCCAACAGGCAGAAACCCCGAGCAGAACCAGACUGAAAUCUCCCCCCCAAACUCGUACGAACUCGCUGGAUUCGGAUCAUUUAGCACGUAAAGAAGGAGACAUUUCUAAAAGCAUUAGAGGAAACUUCUCCCUGAAGUCUAAAUGAUGAAUUUUUGGAGAUGCUGUGAUGCUCAGCAGGAACUCGCCGCCUCGCUCUGAUGUGUCGCACAGUCAGAACAGAAAGCAUCCAUCACUCUGAAUGUGCUCUGCUAAAAUCAAGUGUUAUAUUGUGAAGUAUUCAGACAGUCACAUGGCUGUAAACACAUGCACACACACACACACACACACACACACACACACACACACACACACACACACACACACGCGCGACUGUUGCAGAUGAUGUAUUCGUUUUAAAAAGCCGACAGUGUUUAUCAUUCCCUGCUCUUAAAACUUGCACAGAAGUUGUUUUUUUUUUGGAUGUAAGCGUUCACCGGACAGACUGGGGUUAGAGUCCCGGUUGGUAUUGGACAGAGAAGAGUGUUUCUGGAACAGCGCUGCAGACUAAAAGCUCGCCCACACACAAAUGUGAGAUAUUCUAAUGAGCAAUCUGGACCAUCUGAAUAUUAUAUUCCUCUUCGCAGUACAGACGUGUUACUUUGUGCAACUCUUAUCAUUUCUGGUUUAUAAAAAAAAAAAAAAAAGUCUGUGUUUUAGUUUGAGAAAGGUGUGAGUGAUGAGGAGACGAUAUGAGUGACGUGAUCCUCUGCCACCUGUCUUUCACAGCCUCUUCAUCAUCAUCGGUUGAAAAGGAAGCAACAACCAGAGAGCUCCUGUCCUGUCCUGCUGGUAAGAAUAUCACACAUUAUCUCUGAUUUUAAGUGUUGCUGAAAAAGUGUGAAUUCAUGUAUCGAGUGGAAAAGUUAACCCUGGCAGCAGAAACUCGGCUCUUUUCUUCCACUCAGAGGGUUUUUCGUUAAUUUGAGAGAUUAGUUGGUGAGAGUUUGUGCAGGGGGAGAGAAUUUGACAAACUUUUCCUCCGUUCCUCGGUGUCACUACAGCAGAUCAAACCCUCCCUGUAGCUGUGAUUUAAAAAUAACCGAGCUCAGUACAGUAGCCAUGUGCACAUGAAACAUUUGACUUAAUGUAAACCCAAAAAAUAACAAUCAGGCUGCGUGAUUCACACACACAUCGAGCGUGUUCAGCCCACACACUCCCACGUGUUUCCCCUUCCUCUGCUGCCUCAGAUGUGAGGCACAUGACAUCAUUAAAGAGGUGCUCUAAAAUCAGUGUGGGUACUGCGUGUGCGUAGGCAGAGAGUGUGCGUGUGUGUGUGUGUGUUGUUUCUGUGUGGGUGCAGGAAUGAAAGCCAAAGCUCCAGAGCCGUGGGCCCGGUGCUGGCUGCCUGUGUGUGCCCAGCCGGAGGCUCUGGUCCUGGGCUGCGCUGCCUCCCACGCUGGGGUUCGGUCGGGGCUCUGAGUGGGAGGAGGAGUGGGAGGAGGAGUGGGCCGGGGCUGUGAGUCAGCCUGCUGCAAAGCCCCCAGACGGGAGACCGCUGAGGGAAGAAACACACCACCACACAAGAGUCUCCUCUCCCUGCCGGCCUUCGCAGAAACGUUAAAGUUUCUAAUGAGGAGGAUCAGACGGGGGGGACGGAAACACUCUGCAUCAGCUCAUCUCUGAAUGAGUUUUCUGCAGACACGUUUGUAAACACAAAAUAGACUUAAGGAGUUUUUUACUUCUUAGUUUGUUUUGUUUUGAGAUGAUCCAGGUUUAGUUUCUAUAAAUGUCAGAGCUGUUGCUAUAAGACAGUCAUUUUGCGUUCGGCAGCUCUGUGAUUCCUCAUGAUUACUCUUGCAUGUUUGACAUCCAAAUGUGCAACUACAGCAAAAACUGCUUUCUCCAUCUGUGCCUGUGUGCCCCUUAAAUGAAGGAGCUGUACAUCAGUUUACUCACGAAAUGGCAUAGAUAUAUUCUACAUUUGUGGAUGCACAUACAUGAACUUUGGGGAAUGACCGAAAGAACGAGAUCGUGGAUACAAGUGGCCGAAAUGGGUUUCCUCCUUGG
This 9991-nucleotide long non-coding RNA is filed under the name Xyrichtys novacula (pearly razorfish). Lineage: Eukaryota; Metazoa; Chordata; Actinopteri; Labriformes; Labridae. The record is from RNAcentral.